RNAcentral lists this ribosomal RNA (1907 nucleotides) under Escherichia coli. Its description in RNAcentral is "bacterial LSU rRNA". It matches the Rfam family "Bacterial large subunit ribosomal RNA", at positions 100 to 2033 of the family's 2925-position model. Lineage: Bacteria; Pseudomonadati; Pseudomonadota; Gammaproteobacteria; Enterobacterales; Enterobacteriaceae. The record is from RNAcentral.
AUAACCGGCGAUUUCCGAAUGGGGAAACCCAGUGUGUUUCGACACACUAUCAUUAACUGAAUCCAUAGGUUAAUGAGGCGAACCGGGGGAACUGAAACAUCUAAGUACCCCGAGGAAAAGAAAUCAACCGAGAUUCCCCCAGUAGCGGCGAGCGAACGGGGAGCAGCCCAGAGCCUGAAUCAGUGUGUGUGUUAGUGGAAGCGUCUGGAAAGGCGUGCGAUACAGGGUGACAGCCCCGUACACAAAAAUGCACAUGCUGUGAGCUCGAUGAGUAGGGCGGGACACGUGGUAUCCUGUCUGAAUAUGGGGGGACCAUCCUCCAAGGCUAAAUACUCCUGACUGACCGAUAGUGAACCAGUACCGUGAGGGAAAGGCGAAAAGAACCCCGGCGAGGGGAGUGAAAAAGAACCUGAAACCGUGUACGUACAAGCAGUGGGAGCACGCUUAGGCGUGUGACUGCGUACCUUUUGUAUAAUGGGUCAGCGACUUAUAUUCUGUAGCAAGGUUAACCGAAUAGGGGAGCCGAAGGGAAACCGAGUCUUAACUGGGCGUUAAGUUGCAGGGUAUAGACCCGAAACCCGGUGAUCUAGCCAUGGGCAGGUUGAAGGUUGGGUAACACUAACUGGAGGACCGAACCGACUAAUGUUGAAAAAUUAGCGGAUGACUUGUGGCUGGGGGUGAAAGGCCAAUCAAACCGGGAGAUAGCUGGUUCUCCCCGAAAGCUAUUUAGGUAGCGCCUCGUGAAUUCAUCUCCGGGGGUAGAGCACUGUUUCGGCAAGGGGGUCAUCCCGACUUACCAACCCGAUGCAAACUGCGAAUACCGGAGAAUGUUAUCACGGGAGACACACGGCGGGUGCUAACGUCCGUCGUGAAGAGGGAAACAACCCAGACCGCCAGCUAAGGUCCCAAAGUCAUGGUUAAGUGGGAAACGAUGUGGGAAGGCCCAGACAGCCAGGAUGUUGGCUUAGAAGCAGCCAUCAUUUAAAGAAAGCGUAAUAGCUCACUGGUCGAGUCGGCCUGCGCGGAAGAUGUAACGGGGCUAAACCAUGCACCGAAGCUGCGGCAGCGACGCUGAUGCGUUGUUGGGUAGGGGAGCGUUCUGUAAGCCUGCGAAGGUGUGCUGUGAGGCAUGCUGGAGGUAUCAGAAGUGCGAAUGCUGACAUAAGUAACGAUAAAGCGGGUGAAAAGCCCGCUCGCCGGAAGACCAAGGGUUCCUGUCCAACGUUAAUCGGGGCAGGGUGAGUCGACCCCUAAGGCGAGGCCGAAAGGCGUAGUCGAUGGGAAACAGGUUAAUAUUCCUGUGCUUGGUGUUACUGCGAAGGGGGGACGGAGAAGGCUAUGUUGGCCGGGCGACGGUUGUCCCGGUUUAAGCGUGUAGGCUGGUUUUCCAGGCAAAUCCGGAAAAUCAAGGCUGAGGCGUGAUGACGAGGCACUACGGUGCUGAAGCAACAAAUGCCCUGCUUCCAGGAAAAGCCUCUAAGCAUCAGGUAACAUCAAAUCGUACCCCAAACCGACACAGGUGGUCAGGUAGAGAAUACCAAGGCGCUUGAGAGAACUCGGGUGAAGGAACUAGGCAAAAUGGUGCCGUAACUUCGGGAGAAGGCACGCUGAUAUGUAGGUGAAGUCCCUCGCGGAUGGAGCUGAAAUCAGUCGAAGAUACCAGCUGGCUGCAACUGUUUAUUAAAAACACAGCACUGUGCAAACACGAAAGUGGACGUAUACGGUGUGACGCCUGCCCGGUGCCGGAAGGUUAAUUGAUGGGGUCAGCGCAAGCGAAGCUCUUGAUCGAAGCCCCGGUAAACGGCGGCCGUAACUAUAACGGUCCUAAGGUAGCGAAAUUCCUUGUCGGGUAAGUUCCGACCUGCACGAAUGGCGUAAUGAUGGCCAGGCUGUCUCCACCCGAGACU